GAGUUUGAUCCUGGCUCAGGACGAACGCUGGCGGCGCGCCUAACACAUGCAAGUCGAACGAGCGAGAGAGAGCUUGCUUUCUCGAGCGAGUGGCGAACGGGUGAGUAACGCGUGAGGAACCUGCCUCAAAGAGGGGGACAACAGUUGGAAACGACUGCUAAUACCGCAUAAGCCCACAGCUCGGCAUCGAGCAGAGGGAAAAGGAGCAAUCCGCUUUGAGAUGGCCUCGCGUCCGAUUAGCUAGUUGGUGAGGUAAUGGCCCACCAAGGCGACGAUCGGUAGCCGGACUGAGAGGUUGAACGGCCACAUUGGGACUGAGACACGGCCCAGACUCCUACGGGAGGCAGCAGUGGGGAAUAUUGCACAAUGGGGGGAACCCUGAUGCAGCGACGCCGCGUGGAGGAAGAAGGUCUUCGGAUUGUAAACUCCUGUUGUUGAGGAAGAUAAUGACGGUACUCAACAAGGAAGUGACGGCUAACUACGUGCCAGCAGCCGCGGUAAAACGUAGGUCACAAGCGUUGUCCGGAAUUACUGGGUGUAAAGGGAGCGCAGGCGGGAAGACAAGUUGGAAGUGAAAUCUAUGGGCUCAACCCAUAAACUGCUUUCAAAACUGUUUUUCUUGAGUAGUGCAGAGGUAGGCGGAAUUCCCGGUGUAGCGGUGGAAUGCGUAGAUAUCGGGAGGAACACCAGUGGCGAAGGCGGCCUACUGGGCACCAACUGACGCUGAGGCUCGAAAGUGUGGGUAGCAAACAGGAUUAGAUACCCUGGUAGUCCACACCGUAAACGAUGAUUACUAGGUGUUGGAGGAUUGACCCCUUCAGUGCCGCAGUUAACACAAUAAGUAAUCCACCUGGGGAGUACGACCGCAAGGUUGAAACUCAAAGGAAUUGACGGGGGCCCGCACAAGCAGUGGAGUAUGUGGUUUAAUUCGACGCAACGCGAAGAACCUUACCAAGUCUUGACAUCCCUUGACGAUGCUGGAAACAGUAUUUCUCUUCGGAGCAAGGAGACAGGUGGUGCAUGGUUGUCGUCAGCUCGUGUCGUGAGAUGUUGGGUUAAGUCCCGCAACGAGCGCAACCCUUACUGUCAGUUACUACGCAAGAGGACUCUGGCAGGACUGCCGUUGACAAAACGGAGGAAGGUGGGGAUGACGUCAAAUCAUCAUGCCCUUUAUGACUUGGGCUACACACGUACUACAAUGGCGUUAAACAAAGAGAAGCAAGACCGCGAGGUGGAGCAAAACUCAGAAACAACGUCCCAGUUCGGACUGCAGGCUGCAACUCGCCUGCACGAAGUCGGAAUUGCUAGUAAUCGUGGAUCAGCAUGCCACGGUGUAUACGUUCCCGGGCAUUGUACACAGCGCCCGUC
This 1368-nucleotide ribosomal RNA is filed under the name uncultured bacterium. RNAcentral's name for it is "bacterial SSU rRNA". It matches the Rfam family "Bacterial small subunit ribosomal RNA". The record is from RNAcentral.